GUUUUUUGGCUACUGGCGGCUGGUCAGCCGUCCGUUUUUUUCCACUUUCGUUCCUGAUUCUGGAGAGGAUGGCAGGUGGGGCUCAAUAGACGUGGGGCCACGGAGUCAACCUAAGUUUCCUUCAUCUUUUGGUACGCGGAGUCUUCAUCGCGUGCUCGCCAAUCGCGAUCUGGGUAAAAGCAACCCUAUCCCACGAGCCAAUCCUGCAGCCGCCUCCCCGCUUCCUCCGCACCUCGCCCCACGAGCCCCUCUCCCCUCUGCCGCCUCCUCUCCUUCACUUUUCUCUCGGCGUCGCCACCAAAGGAGGCGCACAUGGGCGGUGGAUCCGUGCCAGAGAAGAGCGGCGGGGACUGCGCUCCGGUAGCAAUGGGGUGCAGCCGGCCGCGGGGAAGAUCGCGCCGCCGCCCUUUCCUUCCUCCAUCCCCGCCCCUGCCACGAACCCCUCCUCUUCCCCUUCCAUACCGGCCUCUGCCGCUCUCCUCGUUGGGCAUCACUCCAUGUUGCGGAGGACGGUUUGCAGCCUGUGCAGUUGAGGUGAGGAACGGAGGUGGGGGGAAGGAGCAACAAUGGGGAAGAUGUUGUGUGCGUUGUGGGAAGCAGCUUGUUGAAAGCCCUGGCUGGCCAGGGGAUAAGAGCAGGAGGUGCUAAUCUUGCUGCAAGUUGUUGGCUGGGUCUCUUUCUCCCUAGGGAAGGCAUAGUAGACCUCGGGGAAACCAAGGAUCUUGCGGUGGCUAUAGCGAUGCCCCUAUCAUCUCAUCCCUCUUUCUAUGUGCUUCUCUCCAUGGACAGCAUCGCCAUGGCCAGAUCGAUGGUUAAAGCCAUAGCAUUUUCCCUUGAUUAAAUUCAGAAGAUGGCGCUCGUUGCCAGCGGGAUCUCGAGGAACAUGUGACCUCCAUGGUGUUCACUGCUAGACGGUGUGGCAAGGAGGGGUACCUUCUGCGGCGAUCUUUCUUGGGGAACCCUGGGCAACCGUCAUCCAGGUCUCCUACUAAAGCUCCUCCUCGCCACCACGAGUGCACGCCAUGUCUUCCACCCUGACAUUGGCCACUUAUGGAGGCUGAUUGAUUUGGUUGGUUCGAUAGGAUCCCAACCUGAGGAGAAUGAUGGUUUGGAGAUGGCUAGCGGCCUGUGGGGCAUCGACCAGACUGGCAGCGCUUCCAGGCAGGAGAGGCUUGGGGGCCUCGUGGGUUGGGAAGAUGGCGGCCACCCGGGUUUCUUCGAUCGAUCUGCGAUCUGGACAGGGCCACGGCAACGCGGGCGUCGGGCGUAGGCGACCGACCCUCUGCAGCCACGCGUUGAUAGUUACCUGUCGAGACUAUAAGAAGAAUUUUGAGGAAGAAUUUGAUCAAGAAGACCAAGAGAGAUGGUUUGCUUUGGAGAGGAAUUAGAUAAGGCCCAUGAGUCCUAAGUAAGUGUGAUAAGCAAGCCCUGCACUUCUAUUUACUAUUAAGCGUCAACUAAAUUUUUGAUAAUGGCAUUUCAGAGAUAAUACAAUCAAUCCAACUGUUAAUUUUGGUGUGCUUUUUGGACGGACUAAUAUGAAGACGCUGGCUAGCUCGCAUUGCCAUCAUAUAGUCUAGAAGCAAGGGCAAGGAUUAUAGGGAAAAUGAAGGUACAAUGCUCCCAAUAUAUUUUACCUUCUCGGCGAAGUUUUGGUGCUUGCGCAAGAAAAUAACACCAUCAUUAUACCUACUGCUCAUUUUUUAUUCAGGCAAUUAGCCAUCAAUAGGAAAAGCCAACUAAUUGUACUUUCUCUAUUGCAGAGAUCAAAGAUAUCUCAGAAGCUAUCUCCCCGGAAGCUCCUGUAAACUGAAUAUCCACUGCUGCUGCUACUGAGCUGCGCUACUGAUGUGAUUGAUUGUGAAUUUGUCUUCAGGGUUGUAUCAGCAUGGUAAGAGAUCUCGCUGCCAGCACUGCCUAAAGGGCUAGCUUCAGGAUUGACCUAUUUAUAUUUACGAGUGUGUGAUCACAUUGCGAUGGCAGAGAUGACUGGCGGAAUAAUACAGUUGAUGUUCCAUUUCUGACAGCCCACUCUGCUGUAGACAGAAUAGUUAGUAACACUCUAAUACACUUUUUUUGUUUGUAUUCAGUUGAUAGGUGUAAUCAACAAUUUUCAGAAAACAAAAUCAAAUGCAGACUUGAGUAUUACCUGAGGGCGCACUGGAAAGGCUUCCAGAGCUAGGAGAAGAAACGGUUGAAGAAGAUAUGGUCUUGGGUGUUUCAUAGGCAUCAGGUGUAAGAGUGCACGAAUGACAGUUUGCCCUUUGAAACGACGUACGCCGUACAGAAGCUUGGAAUGCAUUCAGAGAUUUUUGUUGAAGUCUUGCUUCCUUUGAGCUUCCUGCAAACAAUCAACAAUGGUAGCCACACGAUUAAGAUUGCACUAGGCAAUUCUUAUCCUAUACUGUACUGGGUUUUAUUCUUUAUAAAAAUUGUUCAGCCUAAAUUUUCUGCAAA
Long non-coding RNA from Triticum aestivum (bread wheat), 2457 nucleotides. RefSeq lists it as uncharacterized. The record is from RefSeq and is a predicted model, not a curated record. The transcript has 8 exons. Lineage: Eukaryota; Viridiplantae; Streptophyta; Magnoliopsida; Poales; Poaceae.